This 97-nucleotide signal recognition particle RNA is filed under the name Ignavibacteria bacterium. RNAcentral describes it as "signal recognition particle sRNA small type". It matches the Rfam family "Bacterial small signal recognition particle RNA". From Rfam's summary of the family: The signal recognition particle (SRP) is a universally conserved ribonucleoprotein involved in the co-translational targeting of proteins to membranes. Archaeal SRP consists of a 7S RNA and homologues of the eukaryotic SRP19 and SRP54 proteins. The record is from RNAcentral. Lineage: Bacteria; Pseudomonadati; Ignavibacteriota; Ignavibacteria.
AGUCAAGUCCCGGGCAACAAUUUUAGCCUAAUCCCGCCAGGUUCGAAAGAAAGCAACGGUAAGCAAAGAAUUGUGUGAUCCGGGUAACUUGACUUUU